Molecule: long non-coding RNA, 1537 nt
Organism: Triticum aestivum (bread wheat)
Lineage: Eukaryota; Viridiplantae; Streptophyta; Magnoliopsida; Poales; Poaceae
Exons: 4
Source: RefSeq, a predicted model, not a curated record
UUUGUGCAGUCCUUUAGCUUGCUGUAGACUUGUAGAUAUGUAGCGAAAGCAAGUAGGGUUUGGUAUGUGAUUUUUGUAGCUUUUAUUAUGAUACAUUCUUUAAACAUGUGCUAUGGUUUACCUGUUAUUAGCAUCCGUAGCGGGAAUGGUUGCCGAUCUCUGUUGGACACACUCGGAUGGCAGUUCGGUGUGUGCAUCAGAUAACUGUAUCCAUUUUAGUUCUGCUUGCUCUGAUUAAAGUGGAAAGUACUACCGUUAUCUUAUAUGUUGUUCUGUUAGGAUUGAAUACAACAAGAGACGUGCCCAUUUCUGUUAUAGUACCCCUGAAUAAAAUGGUAAAUACUGCAGUUAUCAUAUACAAUCUCUCAGGAGUGAAUACCACAAGAAGCGCAUUUUUGUUAAUAUCCCCUGCUUCCUGAUGUAUUUGUUUCUUGGUAAAAGUGAACUUCCAAUGAAUAUUUUUGUGCUGGAGCAGGCUGGAGGGGUAUUCGGCUGUGCACAUUUAAUUAUAGUAUCUGGUGGAGAUACCCUGUUCAAGGACAGGGGGGCGGGGGUGUGAACUUUGUGAAAUCCUGUCCUAUUGAUGACUUUGCAAACUUAUCAGGAGGUGGUGUUAGGAAAUCUAAACAGUUUAAACUAUAUAGGAAGACAUUUAUAGGUUAGAAACAAUCUGUUCUACUUCUGCAGAUUAUCUAGAUAAGUGAUGAAGUUUACUUAGUAUAGUAUUUUUUUUUCUGUCACUUCUUUAUCUACCAAAAGUGUGAACCCAUGGUAUGAGCCACUAAUGCAAGCAUCGUCAUUCUUUUCUGAGUUUGUCUAAUUCACAUCUAAAUGUUUUCUAAGGAUGUCACAUCUAAGCUCCCACAAAUAACGCAGCAACAAGGAACAAAAAAAAAGCUGGGGCAAAAAAAAAAUACACCACAAACAUAGUGGACACAAGGUUAGACGUGACAUAAAUGUGUCCUAGACAGACCCUUCUUUUCUUAGUGAAACAUCAACUUUCCAAAGACAAUAUUCCAAACUGGACAGUUGAUACAUAGAGCUAUUUUACUUUAACAUUUAAAGUGUGGCUGCAAAUCUGGGAUGCAGGAGGUGAAAAUUCAUUGUCUAAUCUGUUUCUCAGUUUCCUCUUUCAGAAACGAGAGAUUUUUCAAGACCUUGCUCCACUGCUGUGGCACUCCUUUGGCACUGUUGCUGCACUGCUCCAGGAGAUUGUGUCAAUUUACCCUUCACUUUCACCUCCUACUUUGUCGCUAGUUGCAUCAAACCGUGUCUGCAAUGCACUUGCACUUCUUCAGUGUGUUGCUUCACACCCUGAGACCAGGAUCCCGUUCUUGAAUGCUCACAUCCCACUGUACAUGUACCCGUUCCUGAAUACUACCAGCAAGACAAGACCUUUUGAGUACUUGAGGCUUACCAGCUUGGGUGUUAUUGGUGCUCUUGUGAAGGUAAAUUAAAACUAGAUACUUAUGCAAACUAGGAAUGGAUGGUCCAUAUAGAUUUUUGCUUUAAAUGGUGAGAGGGUUGAACCAGAGGG